RNAcentral lists this transfer RNA (73 nucleotides) under Spirochaetaceae bacterium. Its description in RNAcentral is "tRNA-Lys". It matches the Rfam family "tRNA". From Rfam's summary of the family: Transfer RNA (tRNA) molecules are approximately 80 nucleotides in length. Their secondary structure includes four short double-helical elements and three loops (D, anti-codon, and T loops). The record is from RNAcentral. Lineage: Bacteria; Pseudomonadati; Spirochaetota; Spirochaetia; Spirochaetales; Spirochaetaceae.
GGGCCGCUAGCUCAGUCGGUAGAGCAACGCCCUUUUAAGGCGUGGGUCGUGGGUUCAAUUCCCGCGCGGCUCA